UCGUCAGCUCGUGUCGUGAGAUGUUGGUUAAGUCCGCACGAGCGCAACCCCUACUUGUUAGUUGCCAUCAUUCAGUUGGGCACUCUAGCGAGACUGCCGGUAAUAAACCGGAGGAAGGUGGGGAUGACGUCAAAUCAUCAUGCCCCUUAUGACCUGGGCUACACACGUGCUACAAUGGUUGGUACAACGAGUUGCGAGUCGGUGACGGCGAGCUAAUCUCUUAAAGCCAAUCUCAGUUCGGAUUGUAGGCUGCAACUCGCCUACAUGAAGUCGGAAUCGCUAGUAAUCGCGGAUCAGCACGCCGCGGUGAAUACGUUCCCGGGCCUU
This 327-nucleotide ribosomal RNA is filed under the name uncultured Streptococcus sp. RNAcentral describes it as "bacterial SSU rRNA". It matches the Rfam family "Bacterial small subunit ribosomal RNA", at positions 1052 to 1382 of the family's 1533-position model. The record is from RNAcentral. Lineage: Bacteria; Bacillati; Bacillota; Bacilli; Lactobacillales; Streptococcaceae.